RNAcentral lists this ribosomal RNA (1003 nucleotides) under Triticum aestivum (bread wheat). Its description in RNAcentral is "partial small subunit ribosomal RNA". Lineage: Eukaryota; Viridiplantae; Streptophyta; Magnoliopsida; Poales; Poaceae. The record is from RNAcentral.
CCAAAUCACACCCACCAGAUCACAUGACCCCCAAGAGGCCAAGAGCUCCCUCCCUCGCCUAUAAAUGAGAGGCAAAAGUCAUCAGACCCUUAGGCAACAAAGUGAGAGAAGAGACACGCAAAGGGCCAUGGACAGAGCAGGAGGACAUGCAACUGGCCUCAACCGCACAGGAAAGAGCUGUCGCCUCCGGUGGGUUAACUACCUCCACCCUGGCCUAAAGCGUGGGCGCAUGACUCCCCAUGAAGAACGCCUCAUCCUCGAGCUCCAUGCUCGGUGGGGAAACAGGUGGUCCAGGAUAGCACGGAAGCUGCCAGGGCGUACCGACAAUGAGAUCAAGAACUACUGGAGAACACAUAUGAGGAAGAAAGCACAGGAGAGGAAGAGGAACAUGUCACCCUCAUCAUCUUCAUCCUCAGUGACAUACCAAUCCAUUCAGCCACAGACGCCAUCGAUCAUGGGAAUUGGCGAGCAGGAGCUUCAUGGUGGCAGUAGCUGCAUCACAAGCAUAUUGAAGGGCACGCCUGCUGACAUGGAUGGAUACCUCAUGGAUCAGAUAUGGAUGGAGAUUGAGGCACCCUCUGGGGUCAACUUUCAUGACGGGAAGGAUAAUUCAUACAGCAGCCCCUCUGGCCCUCUGCUACCAUCACCGAUGUGGGAUUACUACAGCCCUGAGGCAGGCUGGAAGAUGGAUGAGAUAAAGAUGGCCCCACAAGUUAGCUACAGUAAAGGAAUUGGCCCCAGUUAUUGAAGCCAUAUAUAUUGUAUCAGAUUACUAAGUUACUUGCAACCUAGCAGAAGUGAAAUGCUUUUGUUGAAAGAACCAUUAGCAUGGAUCUAAAAAGUAUUUAUAUCUAUCUAGCAUUCCAAGUGGGCUCAUGUUUUAUGUAUCUACUAUGUAGCAUCUAGUGUGCAAGACAUGUAAUGCAAGGACACUUCCACUCUGUAUUCACAAUAAUCAGCUAUCUCCUGUAAGACUUUUCCAAUGCAAACAUGAUUAGCAGGU